RNAcentral lists this unclassified non-coding RNA (319 nucleotides) under uncultured fungus. RNAcentral's name for it is "sequence contains ITS2". The record is from RNAcentral. Lineage: Eukaryota; Fungi.
AACGCACCUUGCGCUCCUUGGUAUUCCGAGGGGUAUGCCUGUUUGAGUGUCAUGAAAUUUUCAACCUGAUGGUCUGCUUUAGGUUAAUUCAGGCUUGGAUUGUGGGAGUGGCUGCUGGCUUUUUUUUAAUUUAGGAAAAGUCGGCUCUCCUCAAAUGCAUUAGCAAGACCGGGUGGCCUAGUACAUCAUCUCUUGGUAUGAUAGAUAAAUCUCUGUACCAUUGAGGGGGGAGAAGGCUACUUAAGAAAAUCUUGCUUAAAAAAGGCAUAUACUCGAUAAUUUUGACCUCAAAUCAGGUAGGACUACCCGCUGAACUUAA